This 206-nucleotide ribosomal RNA is filed under the name Prevotellaceae bacterium. Its description in RNAcentral is "partial 16S ribosomal RNA". It matches the Rfam family "Bacterial small subunit ribosomal RNA", at positions 1320 to 1533 of the family's 1533-position model. The record is from RNAcentral. Lineage: Bacteria; Pseudomonadati; Bacteroidota; Bacteroidia; Bacteroidales; Prevotellaceae.
GUGAAGUUGGAUUCGCUAGUAAUCGCGCAUCAGCCAUGGCGCGGUGAAUACGUUCCCGGGCCUUGUACACACCGCCCGUCAAGCCAUGGGAGCUGGGGGUGCCUAAAGGUCGUAACCGCGAGGAGCGGUCUAGGGCAAAACCGGUGACUAGGGCUAAGUCGUAACAAGGUAGCCGUACCGGAAGGUGUGGCUGGAACACCUCCUUU